GGAAGCGUUUCAGUCUGUUUGGGGAAGACAGCGCAGGGGCCUUGGCAGUGGUACCUGAGCCCAGCCCUGUGACCCCAGAGUCUCCGUCCUCAGCGUCCACAGUGUCGACAGCGUCCACAGUGCCAGAGCCUUCAAGAGCUGGUGUGAACGUUCAGGCUCGAAUCAAAGGCUGGUCUGUGGAGAGAGCAGGGGAGGAGAAGCCAGAGGUCUGGAGAAGGGCCUCCCAGGCUCGGCCGUUGCCUGCGGAUUUGACCAAACCGUUCUCGAGGUCGGCUUCGAGCAGUGAGAUUGGGUACGAGAAGUGUGCCACGCUGGGCGGCGAGCUCCCCGGGGAAAGGAGAGAAAAGCUUAAGGAAAGGCAUGGUUUGGAUAGACCCUCUGCCACAAAAAGUCCUUGGAAGUCUGAGGCUUCCCAGAAGUCUAGGCAGACAGAGCUCAAAGAUGCCUCCGACCAGGACCCUGAUAGGUGUUGGAGUGCUCGCUCGGUGGGAGGCGCAAGCCCUUCUGAAGUCAGUCCGGAGGA
This 523-nucleotide long non-coding RNA is filed under the name Rattus norvegicus (Norway rat). RNAcentral's name for it is "long non-coding RNA NONRATT007639". The record is from RNAcentral. Lineage: Eukaryota; Metazoa; Chordata; Mammalia; Rodentia; Muridae.